This is a non-coding RNA of Strongylocentrotus purpuratus (purple sea urchin), 46 nucleotides long. Lineage: Eukaryota; Metazoa; Echinodermata; Echinoidea; Camarodonta; Strongylocentrotidae. The record is from Rfam.
CCAACAGUCCUUUUCAGGACUACACACCCUAAGAGCAUUUUUUUUU